This 73-nucleotide transfer RNA is filed under the name marine sediment metagenome. RNAcentral's name for it is "tRNA-Glu". It matches the Rfam family "tRNA". From Rfam's summary of the family: Transfer RNA (tRNA) molecules are approximately 80 nucleotides in length. The record is from RNAcentral.
GCCCCUGUCGUCUAGUGGACUAGGAUAGCUGUUUUUCAGGCAGCGGACCGGAGUUCGAAUCUCCGCAGGGGUA